AUGGGUUGCUGCCGUCAUGCGGGGCCCACAGCUACUUCAGUGGGCGGUAAACCCAGUCGGAGCUGGCCGGUUCUUCAGGCCACAGGUUGGAGGCCUCUGCCUGGCCUGCCGCUGGGCUCGUGCUGGUGCCANUGGAGUGGAAACGCGUCAUUCCCAUUGCGGACGAUUGGUCAAUGUCCCGCGAUUUCCGACGGUCUCGCGGUUCAUACUCCAGCUGUUCUUCCGGGGCGCCUCCGAUGGUUCCACGGCGCCGGAAAAGUCUGUCAGGACUGGCUGACCGGCUCCCCGGGGGCGUCUGCGGGUGGACUGGAUAGAUGUAGACUUUGGUGGGCCUGCGGGAGCGCUGCGUGAUCCCCGGGUAUUCCAUGUCGUGACCCAUUCCGUGGGGGUGAUAGGGGAUCUCUCCCAUCUGCGACCGNGGAAACAGCUCGGGAGCGCCCCCUAAAGCGGUCCGGCGUUCACCGUGGUGGGCAACCAUCAUGGGGUCAGAGCUGCCCACUGCCACNUCUCGGUACCGGGUGGUGGCGUACGCAGAAGGGGCCGAGGAGGUGCGCGGUCGGUGCCUGCCUUCNCAUUCGCAGCUGCAAUAAUGUGGGGCCUGGUUCGGUGGGAAGUCGGGGUACGGCGAGCGCCCGGCGCGCUGGUGCUCCCUGCACACGAAAUCCUCGUUGUUGCGGACAUUCAUUGUGACCUUUACCGGUUCGAGGGUGCAGCGGAGGCAGCGUCGUCGCGGUGAACUGCUUUCGUGGCGUUGCCGGCGAGGGACUUCCUGAUCUGACCAUUGUACGGACGGCUUUCGGCCAAAGGCUUUCUUUGACCGUUGAGGAGCCAUCUUCACCUUUGUCGGUUCUGAUGAGAGAAAACAAAAACAGCGCAAAGAACAUCUGCUGGUCAUGCUUUCUAAGGCGAACGUUGUUGGCCACAAACUCGGUUUCAGAGCAGUUCUGAAUGUUUCUGGUGCAGAUGGAACCCUUGUGAUGGUUGGAAAUAACUUGGUCUAGGUCAGAACCACUAGUCUUGGUUCCUGUUGCUUUAGGGACAGCUCAAAGGGUUGCACAGGAAGCNGUGGGAGGAAGCAGCCACCAGCCCAGGCACCGUCUCCGUACAGCUUCUCGGACUGUGGUUCUCCAGAUGUUCCUGAAGAACAACUCGCAGCAUUCUGCUCCCUGUGGGGCUGCCACGGAAUGUUGCACAUUGUUCUUCAGGAACAUCUGGAGGACCACAAGCUCAGAACCACUGCACUAGGACCAUCACUUUGUUGCCUGAGGCUGCCNGGGUCACCAUACCAAGAGCUUCCUGGUCUCUGUGAAAAAUGAAGGCCUCAGGCCUCCAUCUUGCCUUCUGCCGGAGAGAAUCUCUCGUGCGCUCCCUUCAGAGGCAAACCCCUUCUGCUUUCUUCUGCAGUUUGUGAUCAUCUUUAGCUUGAUUCUUAAACNAUAACCCUAUGCAGGGUUGCCUAAUUAUCUACUGCUUUUCUCCCAAUUUUUACUGUUUUAACAAAUCACGGUUUGUUUUCCUUUUGUAGUUUGAAUAAAGCAUGUUGCGUUGUUGUUUCCCCUGCGUUC
Long non-coding RNA from Salvator merianae (Argentine black and white tegu), 1565 nucleotides. NCBI's taxonomy places the organism in Eukaryota, Metazoa, Chordata, Lepidosauria, Squamata, Teiidae. The record is from Ensembl.